This 67-nucleotide transfer RNA is filed under the name Actinomycetota bacterium. RNAcentral's name for it is "tRNA-Leu". It matches the Rfam family "tRNA". From Rfam's summary of the family: Transfer RNA (tRNA) molecules are approximately 80 nucleotides in length. Their secondary structure includes four short double-helical elements and three loops (D, anti-codon, and T loops). Further hydrogen bonds mediate the characteristic L-shaped molecular structure. tRNAs have two regions of fundamental functional importance: the anti-codon, which is responsible for specific mRNA codon recognition, and the 3' end, to which the tRNAs corresponding amino acid is attached (by aminoacyl-tRNA synthetases). tRNAs cope with the degeneracy of the genetic code in two manners: having more than one tRNA (with a specific anti-codon) for a particular amino acid; and 'wobble' base-pairing, i.e. permitting non-standard base-pairing at the 3rd anti-codon position. Lineage: Bacteria; Bacillati; Actinomycetota. The record is from RNAcentral.
GGCGAGGCCCCCGGAAGUCGGGCUCAUAACCCGAAGGUCGCAGGUUCAAAUCCUGCCCCCGCCACCA